RNAcentral lists this ribosomal RNA (1392 nucleotides) under Triticum aestivum (bread wheat). Its description in RNAcentral is "partial small subunit ribosomal RNA". Lineage: Eukaryota; Viridiplantae; Streptophyta; Magnoliopsida; Poales; Poaceae. The record is from RNAcentral.
AUGGAUCGGAGCCUCCAAUGGAGCAGGCCGGCGUCGCUGCUCCUCUUGGGGGCGGCGUUCCUGGCGGCGGCGGCGGCCGUAACGAGCGCCAACCCGGCGUACAACCCCGACCCCUAUAGCGUGGUCGACCACUUCAACCGCGCCGUCCACAGGUCGACUAGCCCGCGUCGUGCGCUGUCGUCGGACAAGUCGAAGAAGGCAAAGUACACGGGCCCGUGCAUGGCGACGAACCCGAUCGACCGGUGCUGGCGCUGCCGCAAGGACUGGGCGACGGACCGGCAGCGGAUGGCCCGCUGCGCCAAGGGGUUCGGCCGCGAGACCACCGGCGGCCUCAAGGGCAAGAUCUACACCGUGACCGACCCCAACGACGAUGACUUCACCAACCCGCGGCCCGGGUCGCUCCGGUGGGGCGUGGUCCAGACGGAGCCGCUGUGGAUCAUCUUCGCCAGGGACAUGGUGAUCAACGCCUCCCAGGAGAUCAUCAUCCAGAGCGACAAGACCAUCGACGGGCGCGGGGCGCAGGUGCACGUGGCCAACGGCGGCGGGCUCACCGUCCAGCACCAGAACAACGUCAUCAUCAACAACCUCCACGUGCACGGCAUCAAGCACACGGACGGCGGCAACGUGUCGAUGACGGCAACCCACUCCACCAUCCGCACCCGCGCCGACGGCGACGGCGUCUCCAUCUUCAACGCCACCAAAGUGUGGGUGGACCACCUCUCCAUGGAUAAUUGCGAGGACGGCAUGGUUGACGUGGUGGCCAUGUCCACGGCCGUCACCAUCUCCAACACCCACCUGGCCCACCACAACGACGUGAUGCUCUUCGGCGCCGACGACAAGAAGCCGGAGGACAAGGUGAUGCAGGUCACCGUCGCCUUCAACCACUUCGGGAGAGGCCUGGUGCAGAGGAUGCCUCGCUGCCGCUACGGCUUCUUCCACGUCGUCAACAACGACUACACCAACUGGCUCAUGUACGCCAUCGGAGGCAGCAGCGCGCCCACCAUCCUCAGCCAGGGGAACCGCUACAGAGCACCACCCAACAUGGCUGCCAAGGAGGUACGUCCUCUCCUCCUCACUCCUCACUCCAUCUAUGGAUGGACCCACCGGUUCAAAUCAAAUCAUCAAUUCAAAUUCAAACGCGCGCGCGCGCGAAUUGAAUGGCUGGAGCAGGUGACCAAGCGCGACUACGCGCCCGAGUCCGAGUGGAAGAACUGGGUGUGGAUAUCGGACGGCGACCUGAUGAUAAACGACGCCUACUUCACCACGUCCGGCGGACAAAUUGGCCAGAAGCUCAACGGUAAGGACCUCAUCAAGCCCAAGCCAGGGGAGUACGUCAGGAGGCUCACCCGCUUCGCCGGCCCGCUGGACUGCAACCCGGGCAGUCCCUGCUGA